UACGAAGGGGGCUAGCGUUGUUCGGAUUUACUGGGCGUAAAGCGCACGUAGGCGGAUCUUUAAGUCAGAGGUGAGAUCCCAAGGCUCAACCUUGGAACUGCCUUUGAUACUGGGGAUCUUGAGUCCGGGAGAGGUGAGUGGAACUGCGAGUGUAGAGGUGAAAUUCGUAGAUAUUCGCAAGAACACCAGUGGCGAAGGCGGCUCACUGGCCCGGUACUGACGCUGAGGUGCGAAAGCGUGGGGAGCAAACAGG
RNAcentral lists this ribosomal RNA (253 nucleotides) under uncultured bacterium. RNAcentral describes it as "partial 16S ribosomal RNA". It matches the Rfam family "Bacterial small subunit ribosomal RNA", at positions 524 to 776 of the family's 1533-position model. The record is from RNAcentral.